This 771-nucleotide ribosomal RNA is filed under the name Bacillus anthracis (anthrax bacterium). RNAcentral's name for it is "bacterial SSU rRNA". It matches the Rfam family "Bacterial small subunit ribosomal RNA", at positions 37 to 790 of the family's 1533-position model. The record is from RNAcentral. Lineage: Bacteria; Bacillati; Bacillota; Bacilli; Caryophanales; Bacillaceae.
GUGCGGCGUGCUAAUACAUGCAAGUCGAGCGAAUGGAUUAAGAGCUUGCUCUUAUGAAGUUAGCGGCGGACGGGUGAGUAACACGUGGGUAACCUGCCCAUAAGACUGGGAUAACUCCGGGAAACCGGGGCUAAUACCGGAUAACAUUUUGAACCGCAUGGUUCGAAAUUGAAAGGCGGCUUCGGCUGUCACUUAUGGAUGGACCCGCGUCGCAUUAGCUAGUUGGUGAGGUAACGGCUCACCAAGGCAACGAUGCGUAGCCGACCUGAGAGGGUGAUCGGCCACACUGGGACUGAGACACGGCCCAGACUCCUACGGGAGGCAGCAGUAGGGAAUCUUCCGCAAUGGACGAAAGUCUGACGGAGCAACGCCGCGUGAGUGAUGAAGGCUUUCGGGUCGUAAAACUCUGUUGUUAGGGAAGAACAAGUGCUAGUUGAAUAAGCUGGCACCUUGACGGUACCUAACCAGAAAGCCACGGCUAACUACGUGCCAGCAGCCGCGGUAAUACGUAGGUGGCAAGCGUUAUCCGGAAUUAUUGGGCGUAAAGCGCGCGCAGGUGGUUUCUUAAGUCUGAUGUGAAAGCCCACGGCUCAACCGUGGAGGGUCAUUGGAAACUGGGAGACUUGAGUGCAGAAGAGGAAAGUGGAAUUCCAUGUGUAGCGGUGAAAUGCGUAGAGAUAUGGAGGAACACCAGUGGCGAAGGCGACUUUCUGGUCUGUAACUGACACUGAGGCGCGAAAGCGUGGGGAGCAAACAGGAUUAGAUACUUGG